AAUAGAUACCCAGGUAGUCCACGCCGUAAACGAUGAGUGCUAAGUGUUAGAGGGUUUCCGCCCUUUAGUGCUGCAGCUAACGCAUUAAGCACUCCGCCUGGGGAGUACGGCCGCAAGGCUGAAACUCGAAAGGAAUUGACGGGGGCCCGCACAGGCGGUGGAGCAUGUGGUUUAAUUCGAAGCAACGCGAAGAACCUUACCAGGUCUUGACAUCCUCUGCCAACCCUAGAGAUAGGGCGUUCCCCUUCGGGGGACAGAGUGACAGGUGGUGCAUGGUUGUCGUCAGCUCGUGUCGUGAGAUGUUGGGUUAAGUCCCGCAACGAGCGCAACCCUUGAUCUUAGUUGCCAGCAUUCAGUUGGGCACUCUAAGGUGACUGCCGGUGACAAACCGGAGGAAGGUGGGGAUGACGUCAAAUCAUCAUGCCCCUUAUGACCUGGGCUACACACGUGCUACAAUGGAUGGUACAAAGAGCUGCGAACCCGUGAGGGUAAGCGAAUCUCAUAAAGCCAUUCUCAGUUCGGAUUGUAGG
RNAcentral lists this ribosomal RNA (530 nucleotides) under uncultured bacterium. Its description in RNAcentral is "bacterial SSU rRNA". It matches the Rfam family "Bacterial small subunit ribosomal RNA", at positions 777 to 1304 of the family's 1533-position model. The record is from RNAcentral.